Molecule: transfer RNA, 99 nt
Filed under: Candidatus Woesearchaeota archaeon
Lineage: Archaea; Nanobdellati; Candidatus Woesearchaeota
Description: tRNA-Leu
Rfam family: tRNA
About the family: Transfer RNA (tRNA) molecules are approximately 80 nucleotides in length.
Source: RNAcentral
GCGGGGGUGUCGGAGACUGGUCAAUAUUUUUGACUAAACGACUACGGUUGAGGGCCGUAGGCCUUAGUGGCUGCGCGGGUUCAAAUCCCGUCCCCCGCA